This is a long non-coding RNA of Erinaceus europaeus (western European hedgehog), 3125 nucleotides long. RefSeq lists it as uncharacterized. NCBI's taxonomy places the organism in Eukaryota, Metazoa, Chordata, Mammalia, Eulipotyphla, Erinaceidae. The record is from RefSeq and is a predicted model, not a curated record. The transcript has 3 exons.
AUUACCCCACACGGAACCUCACGGGCCCAGAAGGUGACUGCUGGGUGUUCACCCCACCUGCUAGUUUGCUGCAGUGCCCUGGGGUGAAGUCCAGGGGAGUAUCCUGGGAAGACCAGCCCUGCCCCAGUGGAGACCAGGGCUGUGAAGUGGCAAGGAACAGAGGGAGGGUUUGCCCCAGGGCCCCGAGAUGUGUGGGAGCUGGGGCUUGAAUUCAGAUCUGUUUGCUUCCCGGGCCUGGUGUGUUUCAGUGGGUCUGACGCCCGUGUCCCCAGCUCCUCAGGACCCCAGCCUGCCAGAACCCACCCCCUGAGUGCACUGCUUUCCUUGAUGACCUUCAUCUGUGAACUGAAAAAGGAAGCUCACUGUCAAAGGGGAGAAGUGUAUCUGUAGUGGCAAAACAGGAUUAAAAUAAGCCAGUCUGCAAAGCUCCAAGGAACACACUUCACAGCUCCCCUCGCCCCCGUCCCAAGACCAAUCUAUUUAUCUCCCUUCCUCCCUUCCUCCCUUUCUUCGUUUUUCACUGUUUUUUUUUUUUAUUUUUACCAGAGCACUGCUCAGUUCUGGUUUACCGUGGUGCUGGGAAUUGAACCUGGGACCUUGGAGACUCAGGCUUGAAAGAUUUCCCUGCCUGGCCACUGUGCUGUCUCCCUGGCCUUCCCCCCACCCGGGGUGGGGCAUCUCGUUGAGCCUGGAUUUCUGCCCCUCUGCUCUUGCAGCAAAAAGCCCCUGAUACCUUUGCUUGGUGCCUAGCAGUGGCAAAGACGGGUUUUUGUCACUGGCCUCGUGGAACUUAAGAGCCUGACAACAUCGUACUUUAGUAUUUCUCUCCCGCUCUCUCAUUAAACCAAGUCCUUCUCGACCUUUCUCCAUAGCUCUACUGUGCAGUCUCUUUGAUCUGAAUUGAUUUCAGUGUUAGUAGCAGGCCACUUAAUUCAGAGAUAAGAUAAAUCCUCGGCAAUCUUGUCUGUGGCCUGACGUCUGUGUUGGCUGGAAAGGGUCUGCCGGUGUGCAGUGUCAUUUCUGUGUGGUCCUUCCUCUCCAGCUCCUGCCUGCCUGUCCUGUUCAUCAGAGGCGGGUGAGGUGAGGUGGAGGUGGAGGUGUGUGUGUCAACUGGAGUGUAGGCAGGCCUCCUCAGCCGUAUUUGUCGUCCAGCUAGGACGCGCUGGCAGCCCAUGUGCUUUCUCCAGGCGACAGAGACUCUGCACAAGCCCUAGCCGCCCACACCGCGCUCCUUGCGAGCCGGCCCUGGGUGGACUGUUGUCAGCAGCUCUGGCUGUUCGCGCUGCACAUGAGGCCCGUUCACCCAGCUGCGUGCGGAUCCCGCACCUCUGAGAACCUGAGAACCAGUGACGCCCUCGUGUCUGCUGAUUCGGGGACGGGGUAGGACCAGAACAUGGCUCAUCUCUGACUUACAGUGGUACCUGGGAUCAAACCCUCAGCCUCUGGAUUCAGCCUGGAAAUUGGAGCUAAACUUCAGGCUAUGUUUUGACUAUAGAAAUCCUCUCCCCCACCGGCCCUGCUCCUUCCUGUGUCUGGCCGACAGAGACAGAGAGAGAGGGAGAGAGGGAUCUUCCCGAUGCCGGCUGGGAGAUCUCACUGAAAAAUCUCCUGGGAAAACCCACUGCUGAGUUGACACAAGCCCUGUGGUUUUUUUUUUUUUUUUUUUUGAGUCCAGUUCUGUAUUGAAAAAUAAAUAUAGGAAGAUGGGUGGAGGUGUACCAGGCUGAGCACAUGUUACCAUGUUCAAGGAGCCAAGUUCAAACCCCUAGCUGGUCCCCACCUGCAGGGGGAAAGCUUCACACACAGUGAAGCAGUAUUGCAGGUGUGUCCUCCCCACUCCACCCUAUUCUCCUCCACUCUCAACUUCUCUCUGUCCUAGCAAAUAAAAAAAAAUAAAAAGAAUAAAAGUAAGUUGUGGUCUGUAUACACAAUGGAAUACUACUCAGCUGUUAAAAAUGGCAAAUUCACCUUCUUCACCUCAUCUUGGAUGGAGCUUGAAGGAGUCAUGUGAAGUGAAAUAAGCCAGAAAGAGAAGGAUAAAUAUGGGAUGAUCCCACUCAUAGAUAAAAGUUGGAAAAUAAGAUCAGAAGGGAAAACACAAAGCAGAACUUGAACUGGAGCUGGUGUGUUGCACUAAAGUAAAGGACUUGGGGUAAAGAGGAGGUUUAGUUCCGGGAGCAUGAUGGCAGAGGAGGACUUAGUGGGGGUUUAAUUGUUGUGUGGAAAACUAAGAAACGUUACGCAUGUACAAACUACGGUAUUUUACUGUUGACUGUAAGCCAUUCAUCCCCCAAUAAAGAAAAAAAAAUUAAGUAAAAUAAAUAAAAAGACGGUGGUUCCCAGGCUGCAAAUGGAAUGAGGCUGCAGGGCUUGGUGCUGAUGGGUGAACAGAGGAAGGCAGUGGGGUGACGGGAGGGCUCCCAGUGUCCAUCCCUGCUCAUGGUGCCACACAGAGAUGUGCAUCACACCAGCAUGCCUGUCUGCUGUCCUCACUGCCUUGACAGGAGCUGGAAUGGAAGCAGGUCUCUGUACCUACAGUGAUCCACCUCCCACCUGGCUGCCAUCCGGAGGCCCUGGCAAUUAAUUCCCGUUUACAUACAACCACGGCAUUAACACUGCCACUCCCAGGAGUGGGCCAGGCCCUGCUCCUCUAGAAACUGAAUAACAUAUCCAGAACCCUGUUGAAAUGGACUCAGGAAUAUUCAGAAGCAUCCGGACACCACAGAGCAUGGGGGUGUGUUAGCCAGGCAUGGACCCUUCAGACCCUGUUGGAUGGUAUGCUCAGAACAUCUGGUGCUGCAGGAGAAAUAGACACUGUCAGAAAGACAUGUCACUUCUUUUUAAUUGGAUGUCCAGCCUUGAAAUGCCUGGCAUCUGCCAGGGUGGCUUAGUUAGCACUCACAGGCACCCUGGCCAGAGUAACCUGUGGGCUGAGCUGGGACCUAGGCAGGGAACUGGGACUAAAUUAGAAAUCACAGGGGCUGGGCGGUGGCACAGUGGGUUAAGCACAAAUGGCGCGAAGCGCAAGGACCAGUGCAAGGAUCCUGGUCCGAGCCUUUGGCUCCCCACCUGUGGGGGGGAGGGAGGUCACUUCACAGGUGGUGAAGCGGGUCUGCAGGUGUCUA